RNAcentral lists this long non-coding RNA (2063 nucleotides) under Canis lupus familiaris (dog). Its description in RNAcentral is "lncRNA (ENSCAFG00845029307.1)". The record is from RNAcentral. Lineage: Eukaryota; Metazoa; Chordata; Mammalia; Carnivora; Canidae.
CCUGGAGAUGACUGACAUGAAAGAGGCCAUAAGACCAAGUCAGAAGGAGCAGGAGCUCAGGCACAUAGGAAGAUAUCUGAAUUAGGGCAGCCAGUUGGAUGCGUGGAGGCUUCCCCAGCCAGAGAGAGAUUGGGAAUUACGCUUCCUCAAUAGACCUGAAGCAUACCACAUAUGCCAUCAAGCGGAAGCUUUAUUAUGCAAUAAUGCACCCUGUAAACCCUUUCCCCCAAUUAAUAAUGCACAGCAUGAGGUCACUAUGCACUAUGCAUUUAAUCUUCAAAUGACGGGUAUAGUUGGGAGCUGAUGCCUCAACUGAAGUUUGAUGUGUUCAGUCAAAUAUGUUAAUACUUCUGAAAUGUUUUAGCCUUUGGCAUCCAAAUUUGAGCUUCCCCACAUGUUUGUGGUGUGCAUCACAUUCUGGUUCUUGUGUUCAGCUGAUAUGAUUAUGUCUGUUGUCUUAAUGAAUCUGCCAUGUGCUCAUGGACAAAGCCAAAGAAUUAACCUGGGUUGGGAGUGUUUCUUCUCUUACCAUUUGCUCUUUCAAUUUGGUUCAGCAUUGGUCUCUUCUUGCAAAAAGCCGAUUGGAACCAGAUUGGAAAACCAGAUUUUCCAGAUUGGAACCAAGCUGAAAAUAUAGCAGGGAAGAGUUGUUCUGGAAGUCCCUUGAGAAUUUGCCCUUUGGCAACUAAAUUUAUAUAGAUUUUAUCCCUCUUCCAACUAUCAGUGCAGUUUUUGGCAAGUCACAUACCCUGAGGGCAGACAAUUAUAUAUACUUCACCCUGGGCCUCCGGGUCUUCAUCUGAAAAGUGAAAGGACUAGGAAAGAUGAUUUUGAGGUCCUCCACCUCUAAGAUUUGAAAAGUUGAUAGUUACUGAAUAGUAAAAAUCAGAUUUUUUUGACACUAGAACAAUAGGUUUGUCCAGCUUUUUUGUAUUCUCCUAAAUUUAACUGCCUCAAGCCACUAAGACCUUUCCCAGAUGAACAUGUUGCAGGCUGGGAAAGUCUAUGGAGUUUCCUUAAAAAACUAGGCUCAGCCACUUGGCCCAUACUCAUAGGCUCCUAUUCAUUUAUCUCUUCAUUCAACAAGCAUUUAUUGAAGGCCUGUUAUGUGCUAAUUUUUAGAACUUGAUCCAAAGUUUAGUCCUUUAUCCAUCUUCCCUUAUGCUCACUUCCUUUGACAAACCAGGCAGACAACAGUAUAGGAAAUAUGUAUUUAAUCCUCAUGAAGGGUCAGAACUCAAAAAUUAAGUUUUCUAUAACAAAAUGGAAUACAGACAUGGUGGGUCCAAAGGGAGGCAGACAUCAACACAUGAAAAGUAUGGAAAAGGGGGAUGUGAACAGAACAUUCUUAAUCAAAGCUUUAUUCCUCAGGGUCUCAUUUUGAAGGUUCAUUGCCCCUGCUUUCAGAAGUCUCCAUGUAUUUCAAGGAAGGGACAUGUUUUUGCUGCCUUAAUUUGAGUGGGACUAGACAGGAUCCUGAGACCUGAAUUCACAGUGAGAGAGCUUGAGAUAAAACGCAGGAAGUUUUCACAGAACCCGAUUUGUACUGUAGAACGAAUGGAAAGGAACCAGCUGGAGAUAACCCCAUCAGGAAUUCCUGGUUGCCUGAAACUGAGCUCUGGCUCUCUGUGCUGACACAGCAGCCAAAGGAACAGAGGAUAGUGUAUAUUUGUAGGAAGCAAACAGGUUUGGUUGCUCCCCUCUUUUCUAGAUCUUUUCUACUCUACAUCAGGGUUUCUCUUGUAUCAGCACGACUGACAUUUGGGGCUGGAUAAUUCUUUAUUGUGGGUGGCUAUCCUGCUUUGGAUGUUGAGCAGCAUCCCUAGGUUCUGUCUAUAGCAUUAGCACCCUCCCCUCUCCCCCAAGUUGUGACAACUAAAAUUGUCUCCAAACAUUUCCAGACAUGUGUCCUGUAUUGGGGGGGAAGGGGUGGGAAAAAUCACCCCAGCUAAGUCCCACUGCUCUAGAUGCUGUUGAAGGCUGAGGUUAUCGCUGUCCAUGCAAGACAGAAUGCUGAAACCUCAAACCUUGUGAUGGCAUAAUGCCAUAUACAGUGAUGAUGA